AUUGAACGCUGGCGGCAUGCCUUACACAUGCAAGUCGAACGGCAGCACGGGUGCUUGCACCUGGUGGCGAGUGGCGAACGGGUGAGUAAUACAUCGGAACGUACCUUAUCGUGGGGGAUAACGCAGCGAAAGCUGUGCUAAUACCGCAUACGCCCUGAGGGGGAAAGCGGGGGAUCGCAAGACCUCGCGCGAUUAGAGCGGCCGAUGCCUGAUUAGCUAGUUGGUGGGGUAAAAGCCCACCAAGGCGACGAUCAGUAGCUGGUCUGAGAGGACGAGCAGCCACACUGGGACUAAGACACGGCCCAGACUCCUACGGGAGGCAGCAGUGGGGAAUGUUGGACAAUGGGGGCAACCCUGAUCCAGCAAUGCCGCGUGAGUGAAGAAGGCCUUCGGGUUGUAAAGCUCUUUUGUCAGGGAAGAAACACCGGCUCUAACACAGUCCGGGAAUGACGGUACCUGAAGAAUAGGCACCGGCUAACUACGUGCCAGCCGCCGCCGUAA
RNAcentral lists this ribosomal RNA (501 nucleotides) under uncultured bacterium. RNAcentral's name for it is "partial 16S ribosomal RNA". It matches the Rfam family "Bacterial small subunit ribosomal RNA", at positions 29 to 523 of the family's 1533-position model. The record is from RNAcentral.